AAAGUAGGACACUCGACCUGGCAGUCAGUUACCGAAAUGAUAAUCACAAGUUUACACAAAAAAGCCUUAUAAUUAAAAAAAAAUGUUGUAUUACAAAAUAGUAUCUAUAACCAAAACAUGGUAACAACAAACAACAUAAACCAGAACAUGAACUAUUCAUAUUUAUACUGGCUCAACUGAUAUUCAAACCAGUUGAUGAGAAGUAUGAACUUGCGCAUCGUUCACUUUUGGAACCUCGUUAGUCGAUUUUACCACAAAUUGACCACACCCCAGCUCAGUAAGCGUUACAACUAUGUACACAUAUCUUGGUUUGGCUUUGGACUCACCCAAAGUCAGCUGGGAUAGGCUCCAGCGAAAAGUUCCUUUGGACUUAAUCAAAUCCGGCAAUGGGAUAAUGACACACGAGGACAAGCGCAUCUGCGUUGGGUGUGUCCUACACGGCACAUCGGCAGUCAGAGUGACAACUGCUUUGACUGCAACGCGGUCAGGACGAGUCUCAGGCAGAAGGAGGAAGAGGUGCCAUACGUGAAGAGCAAGCAAGCAGCAGACAGUGAAAAAUGACAGUGAGCAUUCCCGGCUGUAGGAGGACCAAAGGUGGAGCAUCAGGCUCUUAUUGGGAGUCUCGGCCAUCAGGAUUAUGAGAUCACAUACAGUAGCGACAGUCCCUGAAAUAUUUUGUUGAUUCUGGCACUGAACUGGAUCGUACUGGUCUGCACAUGACAGCUCAUGCCAAGAUUCCAACCAGGAGUUAAGGAGAACCACACGGUGGAGAAACACAACACGGCACUUUGGUCUUUCCCGCAGACUGCAGAUGCUCUCCAUAUUCUACAACCAGAAACUGAGGCAACGUCGAUUUGGGAUCAGCUCCAAAUUGGAGAUAACACGUUCUAUGUUUGUAUGCCAGAUGAUGGCGGCCAGAUUGAUAAAACCACCUUUCAUUGUUGUUUGAUUUAGCGUUGCAUCACAGAUUAAAAGUGUUCAUGGCAGGACUCCUGAAACAAGAACUGUACCUCCUUGUAAAAAAACAACAUUUUGAUUUACGGGUUUGUUUUCUCUCGGUACAUAGGAUGGGCUGUUUUUAAUUUCUUGUGGGGACAGCAUAGCUUUGAUGCUGCUAUUUAAUUGCACGGCAACCUUAAUUCAAAGUGGAUUCGUUCUGUUGACUCGAUCAGAAGAAAUUAAGUUAGUGGAACUCAGCUUGGAGGUUUCAGAGUCGAUGAUCCUGUCGGUCCAAGUUGGGGGUUAUCGAUUGUGAACUCAUUCUUUGCAUUUUCUUUGAUUACAUCACGGCACUUCUUUUUGUGUCUUUGCCAUUAGGGCAAAUAAAGACAGGCAGAGACACAGGUGGCCUUUCCUGGAGGUCAUACUAUCAACGUACAUCACAUUGAUACUCACUAAAUUAUAGCAAUGUGUCUAGAGGAUUUAUGGCUGAACUAAAAAUCCCCUAUUGCAUCACAUUGAGCACAUGUUGAAUUAUGUCGCUGCUACUUGGUGCACGGCUGAAACAUGUCGGCUGCUGAGGUGAAAUGUGCUGGUUUUAGCUCUGCUAAAAUGUAUUGACACAGUCAUGGAUGCAUAUGGGAAGACUUGCAAGAUGGGGCUUGUCAGUGGGAUUAUACGCCACAUGAGCAAUGGGUUUCUAAAUGUGUGAUCUGCAGAGUGGAAGUGAUCUCAGCAGGGGUUAGUUUGCUGACCGAGGUGCGACAUCAAGCCCAGGCCCUCGCUAAAUUAAAUAUUAGUCGGGUAAAGUAUCAAUUAUGCACGUCAUGGACUUUUCUAGUAUUGUUCCCAAGUUCUGGCGCCAUCUAGCGGCCAACAUGUUCAAUAGCGUUCAGACGGCAUAAACCUUUUCUGUAAUAAAACUAUUAAAACUGUGAACAUACUGAUAUAUUCGAAUUAAAACAUUCUAGAUGAUAGAUUAACAGAGAAAUGGCAGAUUGUACACAUUAUAUUGCUGAUU
This is a non-coding RNA of Doryrhamphus excisus (bluestripe pipefish), 1960 nucleotides long. NCBI's taxonomy places the organism in Eukaryota, Metazoa, Chordata, Actinopteri, Syngnathiformes, Syngnathidae. The record is from RefSeq and is a predicted model, not a curated record.